GGCGCGGUGGCUGAGUGGUCAGGCAGCGGACUGCAAAUCCGUGUACACCGGUUCGACUCCGGUCCGCGCCUCCA
This 74-nucleotide transfer RNA is filed under the name Inquilinus sp. Its description in RNAcentral is "tRNA-Cys". It matches the Rfam family "tRNA". Rfam says of the family: Transfer RNA (tRNA) molecules are approximately 80 nucleotides in length. Their secondary structure includes four short double-helical elements and three loops (D, anti-codon, and T loops). Lineage: Bacteria; Pseudomonadati; Pseudomonadota; Alphaproteobacteria; Rhodospirillales; Rhodospirillaceae. The record is from RNAcentral.